This 71-nucleotide transfer RNA is filed under the name Sulfuracidifex tepidarius. RNAcentral's name for it is "tRNA-Glu". Lineage: Archaea; Thermoproteati; Thermoproteota; Thermoprotei; Sulfolobales; Sulfolobaceae. The record is from RNAcentral.
UCCUUGGGAGAAAGCCCCUGAAGCGUAGACCUUUCGAGCCCGUGACCCGGGUUCAAAUCCCGGCCGCGGCA